GGCGCGGUCGUUCAGUGGGUUAGCCUUCUUUUUUAAAACAGCGGCCUGUCACGCCGGGGGUCGCGGGUUCGAGUCCCGUCCGCUCCGCCA
This 90-nucleotide transfer RNA is filed under the name Vibrio gazogenes. RNAcentral's name for it is "tRNA-Asp". It matches the Rfam family "tRNA". Rfam says of the family: Transfer RNA (tRNA) molecules are approximately 80 nucleotides in length. Lineage: Bacteria; Pseudomonadati; Pseudomonadota; Gammaproteobacteria; Vibrionales; Vibrionaceae. The record is from RNAcentral.